RNAcentral lists this ribosomal RNA (497 nucleotides) under uncultured bacterium. Its description in RNAcentral is "partial 16S ribosomal RNA". It matches the Rfam family "Bacterial small subunit ribosomal RNA", at positions 28 to 507 of the family's 1533-position model. The record is from RNAcentral.
GACGAACGCUGGCGGCGUGCCUAAUACAUGCAAGUAGAACGCUGAAGAGAGGAGCUUGCUCUUCUUGGAUGAGUUGCGAACGGGUGAGUAACGCGUAGGUAACCUGCCUUGUAGCGGGGGAUAACUAUUGGAAACGAUAGCUAAUACCGCAUAACAAUGGAUGACACAUGUCAUUUAUUUGAAAGGGGCAAUUGCUCCACUACAAGAUGGACCUGCGUUGUAUUAGCUAGUAGGUGAGGUAAUGGCUCACCUAGGCGACGAUACAUAGCCGACCUGAGAGGGUGAUCGGCCACACUGGGACUGAGACACGGCCCAGACUCCUAAGGGAGGCAGCAGUAGGGAAUCUUCGGCAAUGGGGGCAACCCUGACCGAGCAACGCCGCGUGAGUGAAGAAGGUUGUCGGAUCGUAAAGCUCUGUUGUAAGUCAAGAACGGGUGUGAGAGUGGAAAGUUCACACUGUGACGGUAGCUUACCAGAAAGGGACGGCUAACUACGUG